This is a long non-coding RNA of Salmo trutta (river trout), 1603 nucleotides long. Lineage: Eukaryota; Metazoa; Chordata; Actinopteri; Salmoniformes; Salmonidae. The record is from Ensembl.
GUUCUUGUGAAUCAGUUUUGUAAAUCAAAGAUGGGCAAGUUUGCACUUUCAUCCCAUAUUCAUUGUAUUAUAACACAAUCUAAAGUAGAUGAGCACAGAGCCAUAACUAAUGAAAAUGUGCCGGUGUCCAAAUACUUUCUGUGUCAUCAGUCUAGUUAUCCAAGAUACUUGUUUUUUUUCAAUACAGUUGACCAAAGCUCUGCUUGGAUACAAGACAGAUGACUCAAUAAACAGCAUUGACAACAGUGAGGAUGAUUAUGUCCCAGGGCCAUCAGGAUCAUCAGAGGAAGACAAUUUCUAUGAAGAAAAUCUGACAGGAGAGAAAAUUUUGCCAAACAGCCAAUGACCAAGGAAAAGCUGGGACAAGAGAGAGGCUCACACGGUUAGAAUGUUUCCUGCUGCCUUCAGUCAGUGCAUUUUCACACUGUAGUGUCAACUUGUGGUACUGUGCUGGUCCAGAUCAAUCCUGUCUUCAUCAGUUAGUGGAUUUCCAACCAUGCCAGUACAGAACGGUUCAGUUUGGAUUGGAUACAAGUCAAGAUGUUAGAUCUGGAACUAGUGUGUCAGAACAGAUGAUAACACAGAAGGAUUACCACGCUUUACAUUGUUUUACCUGGAGGGAGGGAACUAGUGUGUCAGGAUAGAUGAUAACACAGAAGGAUUACCACGCUUUACAUUGUUUUACCUGGAGGGAGGGAACUAAUGUGUCAGGACAGAUGAUAACACAGAAGGAUUACCACGCUUUACAUUGAUUUACCUGGAGGGAGGGAACUAAUGUGUCAGGAUAGAUGAUAACAGAGAAGGAUUACCACGCUUUACAUUGUGUUUCUACAGGGAGGGAACUUGAUUUAAUACUUAAUGCUUUUAUUAGAAGGUUUACAUUCCAUACAGAUUGUUGGGCUUAGAUUCCAUACAGAUUGUUGGGCUUAGAUUCCAUACAGAUUGUUGGGCUUAGAUUCCAUACAGAUUGUUGGGCUUAGAUUCCAUACAGAUUGUUGGGCUUAGAUUCCAUACAGAUUGUUGGGCUUAGAUUCCAUACAGAUUGUUGGGCUUAGAUUCCAUACAGAUUGUUGGGCUUAGAUUACAUACAGAUUGUUGGGCUUAGAUUCCAUACAGAUUGUUGGGCUUAGAUUCCAUACAGAUUGUUGGGUUUAGAUUCCAUACAGAUUGUUGGGCUUAGAUUCCAUACAGAUUGAGUCUGCCUUAAUGUCAGCAUUGCACAUUCUUCUCUCACAUCCUUAUCUACCGUUGAAGUCGGAAGUUCACAUACACUUAGGUUGGAGUCAUUAAAACUAGUUGUUCAACCACUCCACAAAUUUCUUGUUAAUAAACUAUAGUUCUGGCAAGUCUUUUAGGAUAUCUACUUUGUGCAUGACACAAGUAAUUUUUCCAACAAUUGUUUACAGACAGAUUAUUUCACUUAUAAUUCACUGUAUCACAAUUCCAGUGGGUCAGAAGCUUACAUACACUAAGUUGACUGUGCCUUUAAACAGCUUGGAAAAUUCCAGAAAAUUAUGUCAUGGCUUUAGAAACUUCUGAUAGGCUAAUUGACAUCAUUUGAGUCAAUUGGAGGUACCACGUUCAUCUGUACAAACAAAGGUAA